This 484-nucleotide long non-coding RNA is filed under the name Homo sapiens (human). RNAcentral's name for it is "HSALNT0074317". Lineage: Eukaryota; Metazoa; Chordata; Mammalia; Primates; Hominidae. The record is from RNAcentral.
AGCUCAUACUCCAGUGAGGGAGGCAAUAAGCAAGUAACCAAGCAGGGAGAAGCGUAAGGCCUCUUGGUGGAAGCUCCUCACUAUAGAAACCAUAAGUAAGUUCGACUAUGGUGCAGAGCAGGGAGAGGAUGGAGAAAACAGAUUUUGUAACAAAGCAGGCUGUAUACAGAAUUACUACCUAAACCCAGUACUAGCCCUUAUAGUGGAAGGUCCAGUUCUCCAGGAAACAGACUGUAAGAUGGAGAUCUGCAUUCAGAAACUUUGUAGAGAAGUGCUUAAAGAACCACAGCUGUGAAGGAUAAGAGAAACAGGCCUGAGCAGAAGGAGAAGUUGCACUUGAUUGCAACAGAAGCUUCAGCCAACUCCACUAAUAUCAGAAACUGAAGUAUAAUUAGAAACUGUGUUAUGAACAAUCAGGAUUUGUGGAAAGCAGAAAACUUGAAAAAUACAGAAACUGUCAUAAUCCCACCAGCACAAAUACUGU